RNAcentral lists this ribosomal RNA (891 nucleotides) under uncultured Actinomycetes bacterium. Its description in RNAcentral is "bacterial SSU rRNA". It matches the Rfam family "Bacterial small subunit ribosomal RNA", at positions 522 to 1413 of the family's 1533-position model. The record is from RNAcentral. Lineage: Bacteria; Bacillati; Actinomycetota; Actinomycetes.
AAUACGGAGGAUGCAAGCGUUAUCCGGAAUGAUUGGGCGUAAAGAGCUCGUAGGCGGUCUGUCGCGUCUGCUGUGAAAACGUGGGGCUCAACCCCGCGCGUGCAGUGGGUACGGGCAGACUGGAGUGCAGUAGGGGAGACUGGAAUUCCUGGUGUAGCGGUGAAAUGCGCAGAUAUCAGGAGGAACACCGGUGGCGAAGGCGGGUCUCUGGGCUGUUACUGACGCUGAGGAGCGAAAGCGUGGGGAGCGAACAGGAUUAGAUACCCUGGUAGUCCACGCCGUAAACGUUGGGCGCUAGGUGUGGGUCCCAUUCCACGGGGUCUGUGCCGCAGCUAACGCAUUAAGCGCCCCGCCUGGGGAGUACGGCCGCAAGGCUAAAACUCAAAGGAAUUGACGGGGCCCCGCACAAGCGGCGGAGCAUGCGGAUUAAUUCGAUGCAACGCGAAGAACCUUACCAAGGCUUGACAUGCACGGUAAUCCGGUAGAGAUACCGGGUCCGCAAGGGAUCGUGCACAGGUGGUGCAUGGUUGUCGUCAGCUCGUGUCGUGAGAUGUUGGGUUAAGUCCCGCAACGAGCGCAACCCUCGUUUUUAGUUGCCAGCAUUAAGUUGGGCACUCUAGAGAGACUGCCGGUGACAAACCGGAGGAAGGUGGGGAUGACGUCAAGUCAGCAUGCCCCUUACGUCCUGGGCUACACACGUACUACAAUGCUACGGACAAAGGGCAGCAAGCAUGCGAAUGCAAGCAAAUCCCAGAAACCGUGGCUCAGUUCAGAUUGCAGGCUGCAACUCGCCUGCAUGAAGUUGGAAUCGCUAGUAAUCGCAGGUCAGCACUACUGCGGUGAAUACGUUCCCGGGCCUUGUACACACCGCCCGUCAAGGCGAAUUCGUUU